This is a long non-coding RNA of Magallana angulata, 1344 nucleotides long. RefSeq lists it as uncharacterized. The record is from RefSeq and is a predicted model, not a curated record. The transcript has 3 exons. Lineage: Eukaryota; Metazoa; Mollusca; Bivalvia; Ostreida; Ostreidae.
UUUGUAUCACAGACUGCUAGAUAACUAUAUAUUUAAAAAAAAACCCACAUAAUUAGAAACUUAUUUUUAACUUUAGCAAGCAGUUAAAGACAUUACAGACAUUAUGGAUAGGGGUUUCGAUACCCAGUAGUGUAAUACAUUGGGACAUAGAAGAAUAGGAUUUGUCAGUUGAUGCAUCUUAGAUCUGAGAUAUGACGUCCCAAAACGGGUCAACUGGAAAAGAGACUUUGUUACUGAAGGUAUUAGCCGCCGGCAGUACACCAAAGACAUUUGCAGGAAUCCAAUUGUACUUGAAGAACGGUUGCCAUUACCUGAACACAAAUCUUUACAUAGAAAAAAACCCAAUAUAUUAGUUUAUACUUCUACACCAGAAGUCCUUGGAAGUUGGAAGUUUGGAAAGCAAUUACAAAAUAUUCCGUGUGAACAAUAACGGCGGUAUUUCCAGACCGAUGUGGACAGUAUAUUAUCUUUUUUUCGUACAUGUUUAGUUUAAGCGCAGUUGGGUAUAAUUUAAGAUAAACGAUGCAUUUUCUUCAAUGAUUAUUUGCAGUAUUUUAAUUUGUUAAAAAAUUAUAUCAAAAAAGACUUUACAGAAUAAUGUUUAUGUGUAUUUAACACCUAUUCGUAAUAUACUUAAUCUAACAUUUUCUUGUUUUUCAUAACGUCCUCUUGUAAAACUUUUUUUUUAAAUAUAUUUGAAUGAUUGCCAUUUUACACCUCCAAUAUGUAACAUACAUUUUAUACAUGUUAAGUGGGAGCUAAGUUUUUUUUUUUGUUUACACUUAAUUUAGAAACAUUAAAGUGUGUCCCUUGUUAAAACCGCUGAAUAUAUAAUUAGUGGUUUGGUAAACUAUUUUAGUCCAUGUGUUAUUGCACUUAAAUUGAGUUUAAUUAAAAUUGCAUUUGCUGAUAAGCUCGUUGUAUUGACAAUAGAACUUACCAAAAUAUGACUUCAAUCGAAACUGUUCAAAUUUGAUCACAUAUAAUCUGUUUUGUUUGUGAUGUGACGUCAGAGUGCGCUAGCAAGAGGAAAAGUAUCGUCUGCGAGAAAAAAAACCGCUCUAGCAUUAGAGAGGAAAGACGUUCUGAAACGUCAGUAAUUUGACCACUGACCGUGUGGAAACUGACUGUAAACUGUUUCGCCAAGCACUCUAUGUUUUCUGUGAACUGAUAUUGAACUUGUGAUCCGCCAAUGCGCAUACCAUUCCAUCAAACUGUUCUGUAUAACCGCCUAUCAGCUGCCAAUGUUCAAGUUCUUUAAGGUUGCGUGAUUUAUAUCUUUGUUUAUUAUUAUUAUUUGGGUAUUUGUCUAGACAUGUAAUAUAUUAAAUAUCUAAAAGUUAA